ACGGCGGCCGUAACUAUAACGUGCAUAAGGUAGCGCAAGUCCGUGUCGAGUAAGUUCCGACCUGCACGAAUGGCGUAAUGAUGGCCAGGCUGUCUCCACCCGAGACUCAGUGAAAUUGAACUCGCUGUGAAGAUGCAGUGUACCCGCGGCAAGACGGAAAGACCCCGUGAACCUUUACUAUAGCUUGACACUGAACAUUGAGCCUUGAUGUGUAGGAUAGGUGGGAGGCUUUGAAGCGUGGACGCCAGUCUGCGUGGAGCCAACCUUGAAAUACCACCCUUUAAUGUUUGAUGUUCUAACGUAGACCCGUGAUCCGGGUUGCGGACAGUGUCUGGUGGGUAGUUUGACUGGGGCGGUCUCCUCCCAAAGAGUAACGGAGGAGCACGAAGGUUAGCUAAUCCUGGUCGGACAUCAGGAGGUUAGUGCAAUGGCAUAAGCUAGCUUGACUGCGAGCGUGACGGCGCGAGCAGGUGCGAAAGCAGGUCAUAGUGAUCCGGUGGUUCUGAAUGGAAGGGCCAUCGCUCAACGGAUAAAAGGUACUCCGGGGAUAACAGGCUGAUACCGCCCAAGAGUUCAUAUCGACGGCGGUGUUUGGCACCUCGAUGUCGGCUCAUCACAUCCUGGGGCUGAAGUAGGUCCCAAGGGUAUGGCUGUUCGCCAUUUAAAGUGGUACGCGAGCUGGGUUUAGAACGUCGUGAGACAGUUCGGUCCCUAUCUGCCGUGGGCGCUGGAGAAUUGAGGGGGGCUGCUCCUAGUACGAGAGGACCGGAGUGGACGCAUCACUGGUGUUCGGGUUGUCAUGCCAAUGGCAUUGCCCGGUAGCUAAAUGCGGAAAAGAUAAGUGCUGAAAGCAUCUAAGCACGAAACUUGCCCCGAGAUGAGUUCUCCCUGACUCCUUGAGAGUCCUGAAGGAACGUUGAAGACGACGACGUUGAUAGGUCGGGUGUGUAAGCGUAGCGAUACGUUGAGCUAACCGAUACUAAUGAACCGUGAGGCUUAACCUU
Molecule: ribosomal RNA, 1004 nt
Filed under: Klebsiella planticola
Lineage: Bacteria; Pseudomonadati; Pseudomonadota; Gammaproteobacteria; Enterobacterales; Enterobacteriaceae
Description: bacterial LSU rRNA
Rfam family: Bacterial large subunit ribosomal RNA
Source: RNAcentral